AGAGUUUGAUCAUGGCUCAGGACGAACGCUGGCGGCGUGCCUAACACAUGCAAGUCGAACGGAGAUAUCAAUGAAGCUUGCGAUUUGAUAUCUUAGUGGCGGACGGGGUGAGUAACGCGUGGGUAAUCUGCCCAUAAGUGGGGAACAACAGUUGGAAACGACUGCUAAUACCGCAUACCUUGAGCAGUCAAGAAAGGUGGCCUCUGAAUAUGCUGCCGCUUAUGGAUGAGCCCGCGUCUGAUUAGCUAGUUGGUGGGGUAAAGGCCUACCAAGGCAACGAUCAGUAGCCGGCCUGAGAGGGUGAACGGCCACACUGGGACUGAGACACGGCCCAGACUCCUACGGGAGGCAGCAGUGGGGAAUAUUGCGCAAUGGGGGAAACCCUGACGCAGCGACGCCGCGUGAGCGAUGAAGGCCUUAGGGUUGUAAAGCUCUGUUUUAAGGGACGAAUGUCUAGGGGAGUAAUAUGCCCUUAGAAUGACGGUACCUUAAGAGGAAGCCCCGGCUAACUACGUGCCAGCAGCCGCGGUAAGACGUAGGGGGCGAGCGUUGUCCGGAAUUACUGGGCGUAAAGAGCACGUAGGCGGGAACUUAAGUCAGGUGUGAAAGACCGGGGCUCAACUCCGGGGUGGCACUUGAAACUGGGUUUCUUGAGGGCAGGAGAGGAAAGCAGAAUUCCUGGUGUAGCGGUGAAAUGCGUAGAAAUCAGGAGGAAUACCAGUGGCGAAGGCGGCUUUCUGGACUGACCCUGACGCUGAGGUGCGAAAGCGUGGGUAGCAAACAGGAUUAGAUACCCUGGUAGUCCACGCCGUAAACGAUGGAUACUAGGUGUGGGAGGUAUCGACCCCUUCCGUGCCGCAGCUAACGCAAUAAGUAUCCCGCCUGGGGAGUACGGUCGCAAGGCUGAAACUCAAAUGAAUUGACGG
Molecule: ribosomal RNA, 926 nt
Filed under: uncultured bacterium
Lineage: Bacteria
Description: bacterial SSU rRNA
Rfam family: Bacterial small subunit ribosomal RNA
Source: RNAcentral